CCUACGUGAGACAGCAGUGGGGAAUAUUGCACAAUGGGGGGAACCCUGAUGCAGCGACGCCGCGUGAGUGAAGAAGUAUCUCGGUACGUAAAGCUCUUUCAGCAGGGAAGAAAAUGACGGUACCUGACUAAGAAGCCCCGGCUACUUACGUCCUACCCGCCGCGGUAAUACGUAGGGGGCAAGCGUUAUCCGGAUUUACUGGGUGUAAAGGGGGCGUAGACGGCACUGCAAGUCCGGAGUGAAAGCCCAAGGCUUAAACAUGGGACUGCUCUGGAAACUGUGGAGCUGGAGUGCGGGAGGGGCAGGCGGAAUUCCUAGUGUAGCGGUGAAAUGCGUAGAUAUUAGGAGGAACACCGGCGGCGAAGGCGGCCUGCUGGACCGUAACUGACGUUGAGGCUCGAAAGCGUGGGGAGCAAACAGGAUUAGAUACCCCUGUAGUC
Molecule: ribosomal RNA, 440 nt
Filed under: uncultured bacterium
Lineage: Bacteria
Description: partial 16S ribosomal RNA
Rfam family: Bacterial small subunit ribosomal RNA
Source: RNAcentral